This 500-nucleotide ribosomal RNA is filed under the name Papiliotrema flavescens. Its description in RNAcentral is "partial 26S ribosomal RNA". It matches the Rfam family "Eukaryotic large subunit ribosomal RNA", at positions 115 to 630 of the family's 3401-position model. The record is from RNAcentral. Lineage: Eukaryota; Fungi; Basidiomycota; Tremellomycetes; Tremellales; Rhynchogastremaceae.
UGAAAUCUGGCGUGCUCAGUGCGUCCGAGUUGUAAUCUAUAGAGUCGUUUUCCGUGCCGGACUGUGUCCAAGUCCCUUGGAACAGGGUAUCAAAGAGGGUGAUAAUCCCGUACUUGACACAAUGACCGGUGCUCUGUGAUACGUCUUCUACGAGUCGAGUUGUUUGGGAAUGCAGCUCAAAAUGGGUGGUGAGUUCCAUCUAAAGCUAAAUAUUGGCGAGAGACCGAUAGCGAACAAGUACCGUGAGGGAAAGAUGAAAAGCACUUUGGAAAGAGAGUUAAACAGUACGUGAAAUUGUUAAAAGGGAAACGAUUGAAGUCAGUCGUGACUGAGAGGCUCAGCCGGUUCUGCCGGUGUAUUCCCCUCAGUCGGGUCAACAUCAGUUUUGUUCGGUGGAUAAGGGCAGUUGGAAGGUGGCACCCUCGGGUGUGUUAUAGCCAGCUGUCGCAUACAUCGGAUGAGACUGAGGAAUGCAGCUCGCCUUUAUGGCCGGGGUUCGC